This 20-nucleotide transfer RNA is filed under the name Stemodia hyptoides. Its description in RNAcentral is "partial tRNA-Phe". The record is from RNAcentral. Lineage: Eukaryota; Viridiplantae; Streptophyta; Magnoliopsida; Lamiales; Plantaginaceae.
GGAUGGGAUGCUACAUUGGU